GUGAAUUUGUUUAUUCAACAACUGUGUCGUGCUUUUUGCAUAAGAAGACAAUAACCCUGCCUGAUCACUGUUGUUGUAUACAAUAUGCAAGUGUUAUGCAUAAUAUAAUCGAGUAACAUGUCAUUGUCAUGCUAAUUGAAAAUUUUGCCUUAAUUGAACUUUGCAACAUCGAAAUACCAAGUCUGCUUGUAUUCUUAUUUCUUCAUUUGACACAUUGACACAAAGUAUGUACAGAAAGAUACUGAUGCAGAUCUGUCUCCUAAUCCUAGGGAUUUUAG
RNAcentral lists this unclassified non-coding RNA (278 nucleotides) under Hevea brasiliensis (rubber tree). Lineage: Eukaryota; Viridiplantae; Streptophyta; Magnoliopsida; Malpighiales; Euphorbiaceae. The record is from RNAcentral.